CCUACGGGAGGCAGCAGUCGAGAAUCAUUCACAAUGGGGGAAACCCUGAUGGUGCGACGCCGCGUGGGGGAAUGAAGGUCUUCGGAUUGUAAACCCCUGUCAUGUGGGAGCAAAUUAAAAAGAUAGCACCACAAGAGGAAGAGACGGCUAACUCUGUGCCAGCAGCCGCGGUAAUACAGAGGUCUCAAGCGUUGUUCGGAAUCACUGGGCGUAAAGUUUGCGUAGGCUGUUUCGUAAGUCGUGUGUGAAAGGCGCGGGCUCAACCCGCGGACUGCACAUGAUACUGCGAGACUAGAGUAAUGGAGGGGGAACCGGAAUGCGCGGUGUAGCAGUGAAAUGCGUAGAUA
This 347-nucleotide ribosomal RNA is filed under the name uncultured bacterium. RNAcentral's name for it is "partial 16S ribosomal RNA". It matches the Rfam family "Bacterial small subunit ribosomal RNA", at positions 338 to 696 of the family's 1533-position model. The record is from RNAcentral.